Molecule: long non-coding RNA, 285 nt
Filed under: Fukomys damarensis (Damara mole-rat)
Lineage: Eukaryota; Metazoa; Chordata; Mammalia; Rodentia; Bathyergidae
Description: lncRNA (ENSFDAG00000027697.1)
Source: RNAcentral
AGAAAAUCUGCACUGCUGGGGUGAAUGAGGUGUGUCACCAGGCUGGGGGAUGUGCACUCAAGCCUGGAAGUGAUGCUCACAGUGAAGAUCAGAGCUCCACUGAGGAGAACAGCAGCCGUUCCCAGAAACAGCGAGGCUGGAACUCUUGGCACAGCCAAGUUCACAUCAGGAAAACCAACUUCACCAUCUUCUCCUGAAGAAUCAGCCGCAAAGGCUCUUCCUCUCCAGUCCUCUUUCUGGCAACGAUCCUCAGAUUUCCAAAAAACAGGUUCUUCGCAAUAAACC